AACUCAAAGGAAUUGACGGGGCCGCACAAGCGGAGGAACAUGUGGUUUAAUUCGAUGAUACGCGAGGAACCUUACCUGGGCUUAAAUGGGGAGUGACAGCUGUCGAAAGAUGGUUUUCUUCGGACACUCUUCAAGGUGCUGCAUGGUUGUCGUCAGCUCGUGCCGUGAGGUGUCGGGUUAAGUCCCAUAACGAGCGCAACCCUUACCGUUAGUUACCAUCAGGUUAAGCUGGGGACUCUAGCGGGACUGCCACCGUAAGGUGAGAGGAAGGUGGGGAUGACGUCAAAUCAGCACGGCCCUUAUGUCCAGGGCUACACACGUGUUACAAUGGCCGGUACAAAGGGCAGCUACUUCGCGAGAAGAUGCUAAUCUCGAAAGCCGGUCUCAGUUCGGAUCGAAGUCUGCAACCCGACUUCGUGAAGCUGGAUUCGCUAGUAAUCGCGCAUCAGCCAUGGCGCGGUGAAUACGUUCCCGGGCCUU
RNAcentral lists this ribosomal RNA (480 nucleotides) under uncultured Sphingobacteriales bacterium. RNAcentral's name for it is "bacterial SSU rRNA". It matches the Rfam family "Bacterial small subunit ribosomal RNA", at positions 898 to 1382 of the family's 1533-position model. Lineage: Bacteria; Pseudomonadati; Bacteroidota; Sphingobacteriia; Sphingobacteriales. The record is from RNAcentral.